CCUUCCCCGAUCGCCGCCGCUGCCUCUCUCCCUGAAUCGCGCCGCCGCCGCCAUCCUCCUUGAAUCGUGCCGGCGCCACCCUCCCUGGUUCACGCCUCCUCCGCCUCCCUCCCUGGAUCAUAGCGACGUCGCCCACCACUGCCGUGACACACCUCCGCCGCCACCCACCCCGUCCCCGACGCACCUACAGCCUUCCGCACAGAUCCGGUUGGGGCCGGCGAGAUCCACGCGGUCGACCACAAGUUCUGCCCUAUCCCACGACAUCCAUCCAACGACAUGGACUGAUCUGAACAAAAUCAGUCCAUCGCCACCCACGCACGGCUUGGAUUCUGCACGUCGCCGCCAUGAGAUGCAGUCUACUAGCUCACCUCUGCCACCAUGCCUCCUCACCUCUACCAUCAAUGGUCGCCACUGUGCUCAAGGUCUCCUGUACAUGCCAUGGCCUGGGGCCCCAACCCCCUAUGCUAUAGGAUCCUGGGGUCGCCGCUUGACUCGUCACCGUCAGCCUCCCCGACCUUCUCUGGUUGCCUGGACAGGACUGCCCUUGCCAUUGAGCGCGACCAGUGCCUAUAUUUCAUCCACGACCAAGCCAUUGUGCUAAUCUUCAGUUCUGCGUCGACCAGUUGCAUAACAGUAGCGGUUCAAGAAAGGAUGCAGGCUUCCACACGGUGCCU
Molecule: long non-coding RNA, 674 nt
Organism: Triticum dicoccoides
Lineage: Eukaryota; Viridiplantae; Streptophyta; Magnoliopsida; Poales; Poaceae
Exons: 2
Source: RefSeq, a predicted model, not a curated record